RNAcentral lists this ribosomal RNA (425 nucleotides) under uncultured bacterium. RNAcentral describes it as "partial 16S ribosomal RNA". It matches the Rfam family "Bacterial small subunit ribosomal RNA", at positions 354 to 796 of the family's 1533-position model. The record is from RNAcentral.
GUUAGGAAUAUUGGACAAUGGGCGAAAGCCUGAUCCAGCCAUGCCGCGUGAACGAUGAAGGCCUUCGGGUUGUAAAGUUCUUUAGCCGAUGAUUAUAAUGACUGUAGUCGGAAAAUAAGCCCCGGCUAACUUCGUGCCAGCAGCCGCGGUAAUACGAAGGGGGCGAGCGUUAUUCGGAAUCACUGGGCGUAAAGCGUGCGUAGGCGGUUUUGUAAGUUAGGAGUGAAAGCCCAGGGCGCAACCUUGGAAUUGCUCUUAAAACUGCAAGGCUCGAAUCUCGGAGAGGAUAGCGGAAUUUCCAGUGUAGCAGUGAAAUGCGUAGAUAUUGGAAGGAACACCAGUGGCGUAAGCGGCUAUCUGGACGAGUAUUGACGCUGAGGCACGAAAGCGUGGGGAUCAAACAGGAUUAGAAACCCUUGUAGUCC